Molecule: ribosomal RNA, 420 nt
Filed under: Leptodactylus podicipinus (pointedbelly frog)
Lineage: Eukaryota; Metazoa; Chordata; Amphibia; Anura; Leptodactylidae
Description: partial 12S ribosomal RNA
Rfam family: Bacterial small subunit ribosomal RNA
Source: RNAcentral
ACUGGGAUUAGAUACCCCACUAUGCCUAGCCGUAAACUUUAACUUACACCUCAAUCGCCAGGGAACUACGAGCAAAGCUUAAAACCCAAAGGACUUGACGGUACCCCAAAUCCACCUAGAGGAGCCUGUCCUGUAAUCGAUAACCCCCGCUUAACCUCACCUCUUAUCGUCCAUCAGCCUGUAUACCUCCGUCGUCAGCUUACCACGUGAGCGCCACUAAGUGAGCCUAAUGCCCAUACGCCAAUACGUCAGGUCAAGGUGCAGCUAAUGAAGAGGGAAGAGAUGGGCUACACUCUCUACCUUAGAGAAAACAAAAGACUAUUUAUGAAACCUAGUCGGAAGGAGGAUUUAGUAGUAAAAAGAAAACAGAGUGUUCUUUUAACUCGGCACUGGGAUGUGUACACACCGCCCGUCACCCUC